CGGGUCUUUGGGCCCAACCUCCCAUCCGUGUCUAUUGUACCCUGUUGCUUCGGCGGGCCCGCCGCUUGUCGGCCGCCGGGGGGGCGCCUCUGCCCCCCGGGCCCGUGCCCGCCGGAGACCCCAACACGAACACUGUCUGAAAGCGUGCAGUCUGAGUUGAUUGAAUGCAAUCAGUUAAAACUUUCAACAAUGGAUCUCUUGGUUCCGGCAUCGAUGAAGAACGCAGCGAAAUGCGAUAACUAAUGUGAAUUGCAGAAUUCAGUGAAUCAUCGAGUCUUUGAACGCACAUUGCGCCCCCUGGUAUUCCGGGGGGCAUGCCUGUCCGAGCGUCAUUGCUGCCCUCAAGCCCGGCUUGUGUGUUGGGUCGCCGUCCCCCUCUCCGGGGGGACGGGCCCGAAAGGCAGCGGCGGCACCGCGUCCGAUCCUCGAGCGUAUGGGGCUUUGUCACAUGCUCUGUAGGAUUGGCCGGCGCCUGCCGACGUUUUCCAACCAUUCUUUCCAGGUUGACCUCGGAUCAGGUAGGGAUACCCGCUGAACUUAAGCAUAUCAA
RNAcentral lists this ribosomal RNA (550 nucleotides) under Aspergillus niger. RNAcentral's name for it is "eukaryotic LSU rRNA". The stretch from base 179 to 332 matches the Rfam family "5.8S ribosomal RNA". The record is from RNAcentral. Lineage: Eukaryota; Fungi; Ascomycota; Eurotiomycetes; Eurotiales; Aspergillaceae.